This is a long non-coding RNA of Aquila chrysaetos chrysaetos, 677 nucleotides long. RefSeq lists it as uncharacterized. NCBI's taxonomy places the organism in Eukaryota, Metazoa, Chordata, Aves, Accipitriformes, Accipitridae. The transcript is spliced from 2 exons. The record is from RefSeq and is a predicted model, not a curated record.
ACACAUAUGCAGAGGGACACGUUUUGCCACACACAACCCUGAACUUCCUGAAAAUUUACGUUUACCAAAAAAAGCCAUUUGGAACAUAUUGCCAAACAACAUUUGGCAAUAAAGCUUUGAUGCGUUUGACACAGACAAAUUUUUGGUAACUUGCUAUUUGCUUCCUGUUGCUGCUGUUCUUCCUUCAGAAAUUCUACUUGUAGCCAAGUUAUUCACUACUGGCUCAAGCAUUUGCCUUCCUGGUAUUACCAGCACAUUCACAGAGGCAAGUAACUUAAUUGCUCUUCUACAAUUACCCAAACGACAAUUACAGCCAUGAAAGAGACGGUAAGGUCAGGCAGCAGAAUAGCUCUGCAGGCUGGCACCAGUCAAUAUUGCACUCUUUAAAAACAAACAACAACAAACAAAACCGUGACCCUGUAUCUUUUUUUUCUUCUUUCAGAGCUCACCCCUGUCUCAGCAUUUCGUCUUGUCAGAGCAUGAAGUGCAGGUGAUCUGUACCCUGACGACUUUUGCAUGUGAUGAAUGCCUGUUCAGAAACAGUCCAGAUCUGCAAGACUGGUGCUCAAAAAUGAACUACAGGGACACCACAUAUUCCUAAAAAUUCAGUUAUACAUAAAAAAAUAAAAUGUAUUUCCAACUUGCCCAUAAAAUCAGUAUGAAUGGAGAGAAGAGAA